UGACCAGACUCCUACGGGAGGCAGCAGUGGGGAAUAUUGGGCAAUGGACGCAAGUCUGACCCAGCAACGCCGCGUGAAGGAAGAAGGCUUUCGGGUUGUAAACUUCUUUUAUCAGGGACGAAGCAAGUGACGGUACCUGAUGAAUAAGCCACGGCUAACUACGUGCCAGCAGCCGCGGUAAUACGUAGGUGGCAAGCGUUAUCCGGAUUUACUGGGUGUAAAGGGCGUGUAGGCGGGAAAGCAAGUCAGAUGUGAAAACCAUGGGCUCAACCUGUGGCCUGCAUUUGAAACUGUUUUUCUUGAGUGCUGGAGAGGCAAUCGGAAUUCCGUGCGUAGCGGUGAAAUGCGUAGAUAUACGGAGGAACACCAGUGGCGAAGGCGGAUUGCUGGACAGUAACUGACGCUGAGGCGCGAAAGCGUGGGGAGCAAACAGGAUUAGAUACCCCCGUA
This 450-nucleotide ribosomal RNA is filed under the name uncultured bacterium. RNAcentral describes it as "bacterial SSU rRNA". It matches the Rfam family "Bacterial small subunit ribosomal RNA", at positions 328 to 792 of the family's 1533-position model. The record is from RNAcentral.